AGUGAACGCUGGCGGCGUGCUUAACACAUGCAAGUCGAACGGACAGACAGAGAGCUUGCUCUCUUGAAGUUAGUGGCGAACGGGUGAGUAACGCGUAAUCAACCUGCCCUUCAGAGGGGGAUAACAACGGGAAACCGUUGCUAAUACCGCGUACGAUUCAUGAACGGCAUCGUUUAUGAAUGAAAGGUGGCCUCUAUGUAUAAGCUAUCGCUGAAGGAGGGGAUUGCGUCUGAUUAGCUAGUUGGAGGGGUAACGGCCCACCAAGGCAAUGAUCAGUAGCCGGUCUGAGAGGAUGAACGGCCACAUUGGGACUGAGACACGGCCCAAACUCCUACGGGAGGCAGCAGUGGGGAAUCUUCCGCAAUGGACGAAAGUCUGACGGAGCAACGCCGCGUGAGUGAUGAAGGUCUUCGGAUUGUAAAGCUCUGUUAAUCGGGACGAAAGAGUUCUGCGUGAAUAAUGCAGAAAAGUGACGGUACCGGAAUAGAAAGCCAUGGCUAACUACGUGCCAGCCGCCGCCGUAA
This 524-nucleotide ribosomal RNA is filed under the name uncultured bacterium. RNAcentral's name for it is "partial 16S ribosomal RNA". It matches the Rfam family "Bacterial small subunit ribosomal RNA", at positions 29 to 523 of the family's 1533-position model. The record is from RNAcentral.